CGCACGCACGCACGCACGCACGCACGCACGCACGCACGCACGCACGCACGCACGCACGCACGCACGCACAGACAGACAGACAGACAGACAGACAGACAGACAGACAGACAGACAGACAGACAGACAGACAGACAGACAGACAGACAGACAGACAGACAGACAGACAGACAGACAGACAGACGCACGCACGCACGCACGCACGCACGCACGCACGCACGCACGCACGCACGCACGCACGCACGCACGCACGCACACACACACACACACACACACACACACACACACACACAGUAAGGUGAAUUGAAUGAAGACAUUCUUCGUUUUGAAGUAUGAAUCUAAAUCUGUCAAAUCAGACUCAUCAUUUUAAUCAAAAUGAGGGAGGUCAUUUAAGAUCAAACACAGAGCUUAAACAGACUUUCACUAUUACCAAGGCGACCAGAGGAGGUCGAACCUGGGUUGAGUUUUACUAUUUAGCUCACCUGCGCAGCUCGCACGCCAUGUGGUUUUCUUAAUUGGUUCAUUGGUUGCAUCUGGUGCAUUUCACAUAAGAGGGAAACGGACAAUACAUUUGUGUCCUCCACUGUUUGGCAGUUUAUCGUCUCCCAAACACGGUUAAAGACUUUUUGAAGUAAAGAGGAGCAUCUCAUCUGGACCUGAUGUCUAUCAUGGAUAUCUAACUGCAGUACUGUGAGUAUCCCAACUUUAACAUGAAGAUGAACUGCGAACUGUAAGUCAUUAGUUUCUCAUUACUCUUGGGCACAUUGAUGUAUGUUGGCUUCCUGGUGAGUUAACCCGUUAGCUGAAGGUUGAUCUGAUUAGUAAGGAUCUUUUAUUGGCUCAUGGGUUACUUAGGCGUUUGGUUUAUGUUGGUUUUAAUGGUUUGUUAAAAUGGUUACAGGCUCCAAGUUAUUGUUGUAAGCUGGAGUAAUGAGUUGGGUUCUGAUGUCUUCAGUCUUCUUUCCAGCUACUCUCCUGAGCUCUGCAUCUUCAUUACAUGAGUGUUGCUUUACUGAGGAGGGUGUGGUCUGAGUGAGCAGAGGUGCAUACUGGGAUACAGAGCUGUCUGAAGUCUACAGGUCUGUAGACACGCCCCCUCAGGGGAAACCGAGUGUUUGAGAAACCGUCGUGACGUCAGUUACAUGGACUGGAAUGUUCUUUAAGAUGGAGACAGGGAUUCAGAAGGAGAAACACCAGGGGGAGAUGAGCGGGCUCCUCAUCUCAACGACUUCAGUCUGACACAGAGAACCAUGGAACACUUUCAACAGUCCCCUCCAGGCAUCGUGACUCCUCAGGAACAGUUUCAUUCCAGAGAAGAUCUCAUUUGGGGCCAUUCCAAGAUGGAUCCUGCUCCUCAAGAGCCACCCCCCUCCACUGGGUGGUCUUCUGAACAGAUGAUCUCCUUCCUGUCCUCAGGCUGACUAAAGCUGCACCGUUUGCAUCUGUGACGGCCCCUCAAUCACUAAACCACUGGACUACAAACACAAGACUUCAGAGAUGUUGAAACAGCGUGCAUGGAGACUCCAAGCAUAAUCCAUCACCAAUGGGGGACGCCACUGAAGAAUGUUGUAAAUAAUUUACGUCUCUGGAGAUAUUGGUGGUUCUGUUCUGGGUGCCCUGACAGAAGAGCUGGGGGUGGAUGAUGGAAUGUUAUUUGGCAUGAGGUUUUUACCCUGCAUGAGUGUUUGGUCUUUUAUGGCUGCUUUUUAUGGUGUGUGUGUGUGGGUUUGACAUGAGAUGGAAAAUUUUUGAGCAUCGUUAGGGUUCUACUGUGUGUGUGUGUGUCCCACUCACACCCGGCACGGGGUUCUACGUGUGUUUCCUUGGUUCUGCGUCCUGCUUGCUUUGACAUUGAUCAUUUUCUUACGGGGGUCUGUAUGAUUGGCUUGGUGUAUUGGAAUGGUCAACUAAGUCAUACCUGCUGGACUGCCACACGUUUACUUGAGGCCUCCAGGAGACAUGAAGAGCCCUGAGCGACGCUCCAGAGCGAGAUCCUACACACUGGGCAGGAAGGAGAGUAUCCAAAUCAAGUGUAAAAGGAUGCAAGCGGCGUGUUCAGAUCAGCGACUUCAAACUAGGACUACACCAAUCAGGAUCAAUGGAGGAUGGACACCUAAAGGAAUUCCACAAGGACUCUGAAGUUGGAAAGGGACCUCAAUGGAUGUUCAAGAUGACCUUCAGACCUGUAAUGAGGCGCAUCUUCCUACCUGGCUGGAUUGAUGGAGAGCCCUGUGGAUCUUGUCUUGCUCUCAGUUGCACGUCUUCUCAGGCUGAACUGUAUUUGCUGUACAGGACUAGCUGAACGAUCGGUUCCCUUAAAUCAGAACCAAUCUGGGAACUCCAACUACUGCGCUCUUAAAGCUGAAGUUGUGCUCUUCAGCUGAGGAGGCAAGGAAACCUUCACUGGGGCUACAAUGUGUAUAGAGGAGACCGUUUCGAAGUGUUCCAUGGUACUCUGAUGAAGACCGUUGAUGUGUUUCACUGGCUGAGAGGAAGAACCCUCACAUCCUCCUCUUGGCCUUUCUCCUCUGAGAAUCCUGGUGCCAUCUUGAAGAAUAUUCCAGCUCAUGUAACUGAUGUCACGACAGAUUCUCAAACACUUGGUUUCUCCUGAGGGGCGUGUCUAUAGAACUGAAGACUUCAGACAGCACUGUAUCCCAGCACUCAUCUCUGCUCACUCAGACCACACCCUCAUGAGUAGGAUGCAACACUAUAGCGAUGGAGAUGUAGAGUUUUAUAAAUAAAGAGGGAGCAGACAACGAUGAUUCGAACCCAACUGCAAUUUAAGUCUUUAAAUCUUUAAACCAUGAAGAUGGUUGGAUAGUUCAGGAAUUGGGCUUCAUUUUAUUAUGGGCAGUCCUUUCGCUCAAAUGCCCACUUCUCACUGGACCUGUACAUGUGUUGUUUGGCUGGCAUGAUUUGCUGUUGGUAGUGAGGCGGUCAGGGUGACAUUGCUUGGCUAUGG
Long non-coding RNA from Gadus macrocephalus (Pacific cod), 2962 nucleotides. RefSeq lists it as uncharacterized. The transcript is spliced from 3 exons. NCBI's taxonomy places the organism in Eukaryota, Metazoa, Chordata, Actinopteri, Gadiformes, Gadidae. The record is from RefSeq and is a predicted model, not a curated record.